CAAGUAGGAUAAAUGAUCGCGGCUGUCUCCGCAAGGAUAGUACGCAGCCCUAUGGCUUGCGUAUGAUUGACAGGUGAGGAAAGUCCGGGCUUCACAGGGCAGGAUGCCGGAUAACAUCCGGUGGAGGCGACUCCAAGGCCAGUGCAACAGAAAUAUACCGCCAAGAGCUUAUGGCAGACCAAAACUUGUGAGUUUCGGUGAAAAGCCGGACUCUUGGUAAGGGUGGAAAGGCAGUGUAAGAGACUACCGCCUGUGCGGUAACGUACAGGGCACAUGUAAACCCCAUCCGAAGCAAGACCAAACAGAAAGCGUUAUCAGCCGGCCCGGCAAGCUUUCAGGUAGGUCGCUUGAGACUGUUGGCAACAACAGUUCUAGAUAGAUGAUCAUUCACGACAUAACCCGGCUUAUCGUCCUGCUUGGUUU
RNAcentral lists this RNase P RNA (423 nucleotides) under Lachnospiraceae bacterium 10-1. RNAcentral's name for it is "Bacterial RNase P class A". It matches the Rfam family "Bacterial RNase P class A". Rfam says of the family: Ribonuclease P (RNase P) is a ubiquitous endoribonuclease, found in archaea, bacteria and eukarya as well as chloroplasts and mitochondria. Its best characterised activity is the generation of mature 5'-ends of tRNAs by cleaving the 5'-leader elements of precursor-tRNAs. The record is from Rfam by way of RNAcentral. Lineage: Bacteria; Bacillati; Bacillota; Clostridia; Lachnospirales; Lachnospiraceae.